GAUGAACGCUGGCGGCGUGCCUAAUACAUGCAAGUCGAGCGAACAGACGAGGAGCUUGCUCCUCUGACGUUAGCGGCGGACGGGUGAGUAACACGUGGAUAACCUACCUAUAAGACUGGGAUAACUUCGGGAAACCGGAGCUAAUACCGGAUAAUAUAUUGAACCGCAUGGUUCAAUAGUGAAAGACGGUUUUGCUGUCACUUAUAGAUGGAUCCGCGCCGCAUUAGCUAGUUGGUAAGGUAACGGCUUACCAAGGCAACGAUGCGUAGCCGACCUGAGAGGGUGAUCGGCCACACUGGAACUGAGACACGGUCCAGACUCCUACGGGAGGCAGAAGUAGGGAAUCUUCCGCAAUGGGCGAAAGCAUGACGGAGCAACGCCGCGUGAAUGAUGAAGGUCUUCGGAUCGUAAAACUCUGUUAUUAGGGAAGAACAAAUGUGUAAGUAACUAUGCACGUCUUGACGGUACCUAAUCAGAAAGCCACGGCUAACUACGUG
Molecule: ribosomal RNA, 497 nt
Filed under: uncultured bacterium
Lineage: Bacteria
Description: partial 16S ribosomal RNA
Rfam family: Bacterial small subunit ribosomal RNA
Source: RNAcentral